Molecule: long non-coding RNA, 710 nt
Organism: Nicotiana attenuata
Lineage: Eukaryota; Viridiplantae; Streptophyta; Magnoliopsida; Solanales; Solanaceae
Exons: 2
Source: RefSeq, a predicted model, not a curated record
CCCUGCACUUUGGAGGACCUAGAAGACCUUAGCUCCCCCUCCAACAACAGGGCAGCUUUCCUUUUUUCAGCUUCUUCUGAUUCUUCUUCAUCUCCUGCAAAAACCAGGAGUAAAGGGCGCACCUGCUUCUCCAAUCCAUCUUCUCUUCACGCUCCUUCACUCACUGAUAACCCACACCUUCUGAAUCAAAAUCCCAGGGUCUACGAUACUAAGAAUGUAACAAAAGAGAGGAUAAAAAGGGCUUCAUCCAUGCUUGAAGUUUGCUGUCUUCUUCUUUCAUAUUUCUGGGUUCAAUAACGUUUUCUUGAAGUUUUGUUGCUGUUCGUUGCUUAGUCUGCUAACCUCCGCUUCUCUGGCCCCUUUAAAUGGUAUUUUUUAGCUGUUUUCUGCAACCAGGUAAUCAACCAUCGGCUCAAGAGAAAAGAGAGAUACUCACAUAUGGGAUGUAUCAGAAAAUUGCUUUACUGGAUAUUUUGAACAGCAGUGCAAUACAAAUGAAGCUAGCAGGGGUUCUUAGAAAUGCGGAGAUAUAAGAUGAUGAUGAUUCUGUUUACUAACGUUAUUUUCUGAUCUAGAAUUUCAGUUAGGAUGUUUUAAUUGUGAAAUUAUUAUGUUGUGCCAUUCGUCAGAUACGUCACUAUAAUUAUAGCAGUAUUUGUUUAAACUGUCAAAACUUAUCUACACAAUCAGAGGCGGACCCAAGAUUUAAG